This 2099-nucleotide ribosomal RNA is filed under the name Salmonella enterica. Its description in RNAcentral is "partial 23S ribosomal RNA". It matches the Rfam family "Bacterial large subunit ribosomal RNA", at positions 830 to 2824 of the family's 2925-position model. The record is from RNAcentral. RNAcentral also lists the same sequence under 1 other name. Lineage: Bacteria; Pseudomonadati; Pseudomonadota; Gammaproteobacteria; Enterobacterales; Enterobacteriaceae.
CAAUCAAACCGGGAGAUAGCUGGUUCUCCCCGAAAGCUAUUUAGGUAGCGCCUCGUGAAUUCAUCUCCGGGGGUAGAGCACUGUUUCGGCUAGGGGGCCAUCCCGGCUUACCAACCCGAUGCAAACUGCGAAUACCGGAGAAUGUUAUCACGGGAGACACACGGCGGGUGCUAACGUCCGUCGUGAAGAGGGAAACAACCCAGACCGCCAGCUAAGGUCCCAAAGUCAUGGUUAAGUGGGAAACGAUGUGGGAAGGCCCAGACAGCCAGGAUGUUGGCUUAGAAGCAGCCAUCAUUUAAAGAAAGCGUAAUAGCUCACUGGUCGAGUCGGCCUGCGCGGAAGAUGUAACGGGGCUAAACCAUGCACCGAAGCUGCGGCAGCGAACGUAUCACCCAAGACAACUUUACGGAGUUGACGAUUGACGGAGCGAAGCGACGUCAAAGCGUUCAUUAAAGUCGAGUUGGCUUAGGGAUACGUUCGUUGGGUAGGGGAGCGUUCUGUAAGCCUGUGAAGGUGUGUCGUGAGGCAUGCUGGAGGUAUCAGAAGUGCGAAUGCUGACAUAAGUAACGAUAAAGCGGGUGAAAAGCCCGCUCGCCGGAAGACCAAGGGUUCCUGUCCAACGUUAAUCGGGGCAGGGUGAGUCGACCCCUAAGGCGAGGCCGAAAGGCGUAGUCGAUGGGAAACGGGUUAAUAUUCCCGUACUUGGUGUUACUGCGAAGGGGGGACGGAGAAGGCUAUGUUGGCCGGGCGACGGUUGUCCCGGUUUAAGCGUGUAGGUGUGUGUUCCAGGUAAAUCCGGUUCACUUUAACACUGAGGCGUGACGACGAGGCACUACGGUGCUGAAGCAACAAAUGCCCUGCUUCCAGGAAAAGCCUCUAAGCAUCAGGUAACAUCAAAUCGUACCCCAAACCGACACAGGUGGUCAGGUAGAGAAUACCAAGGCGCUUGAGAGAACUCGGGUGAAGGAACUAGGCAAAAUGGUGCCGUAACUUCGGGAGAAGGCACGCUGACACGUAGGUGAAGUGAUUUACUCAUGGAGCUGAAGUCAGUCGAAGAUACCAGCUGGCUGCAACUGUUUAUUAAAAACACAGCACUGUGCAAACACGAAAGUGGACGUAUACGGUGUGACGCCUGCCCGGUGCCGGAAGGUUAAUUGAUGGGGUCAGCGCAAGCGAAGCUCCUGAUCGAAGCCCCGGUAAACGGCGGCCGUAACUAUAACGGUCCUAAGGUAGCGAAAUUCCUUGUCGGGUAAGUUCCGACCUGCACGAAUGGCGUAAUGAUGGCCAGGCUGUCUCCACCCGAGACUCAGUGAAAUUGAACUCGCUGUGAAGAUGCAGUGUACCCGCGGCAAGACGGAAAGACCCCGUGAACCUUUACUAUAGCUUGACACUGAACAUUGAGCCUUGAUGUGUAGGAUAGGUGGGAGGCUUUGAAGUGUGGACGCCAGUCUGCAUGGAGCCGACCUUGAAAUACCACCCUUUAAUGUUUGAUGUUCUAACGUGGACCCGUAAUCCGGGUUGCGGACAGUGUCUGGUGGGUAGUUUGACUGGGGCGGUCUCCUCCUAAAGAGUAACGGAGGAGCACGAAGGUUGGCUAAUCCUGGUCGGACAUCAGGAGGUUAGUGCAAUGGCAUAAGCCAGCUUGACUGCGAGCGUGACGGCGCGAGCAGGUGCGAAAGCAGGUCAUAGUGAUCCGGUGGUUCUGAAUGGAAGGGCCAUCGCUCAACGGAUAAAAGGUACUCCGGGGAUAACAGGCUGAUACCGCCCAAGAGUUCAUAUCGACGGCGGUGUUUGGCACCUCGAUGUCGGCUCAUCACAUCCUGGGGCUGAAGUAGGUCCCAAGGGUAUGGCUGUUCGCCAUUUAAAGUGGUACGCGAGCUGGGUUUAGAACGUCGUGAGACAGUUCGGUCCCUAUCUGCCGUGGGCGCUGGAGAACUGAGGGGGGCUGCUCCUAGUACGAGAGGACCGGAGUGGACGCAUCACUGGUGUUCGGGUUGUCAUGCCAAUGGCACUGCCCGGUAGCUAAAUGCGGAAGAGAUAAGUGCUGAAAGCAUCUAAGCACGAAACUUGCCCCGAGAUGAGUUCUCCCUGAGACUUAG